AUUGAACGCUGGCGGCAGGCCUAACACAUGCAAGUCGAGCGGCAGCGGAAAAGUAGCUUGCUACUUUUGCCGGCGAGCGGCGGACGGGUGAGUAAUGCCUGGGGAUCUGCCCAGUCGAGGGGGAUAACUACUGGAAACGGUAGCUAAUACCGCAUACGCCCUACGGGGGAAAGCAGGGGACCUUCGGGCCUUGCGCGAUUGGAUGAACCCAGGUGGGAUUAGCUAGUUGGUGAGGUAAUGGCUCACCAAGGCGACGAUCCCUAGCUGGUCUGAGAGGAUGGUCAGCCACACUGGAACUGAGACACGGUCCAGACUCCUACGGGAGGCAGCAGUGGGGAAUAUUGCAAAAUGGGGGAAACCCUGAUGCAGCCAUGCCGCGUGUGUGAAGAAGGCCUUCGGGUUGUAAAGCACUUUCAGCGAGGAGGAAAGGUUGGUAGCUAAUAACUGCCAGCUGUGACGUUACUCGCAGAAGAAGCACCGGCUAACUCCGUGCCAGCCGCCGCAGUAA
This 508-nucleotide ribosomal RNA is filed under the name uncultured bacterium. RNAcentral's name for it is "partial 16S ribosomal RNA". It matches the Rfam family "Bacterial small subunit ribosomal RNA", at positions 30 to 523 of the family's 1533-position model. The record is from RNAcentral.